CUUGGCUCGGACUCCGGGACUGGGUGAGAGUGCUUAAAGAAUGUGAAGACCCUGUCGGUGUUCUGUCCGACUAUCUAGGUCCAGCCCGAACAUACUCUGCUGUAUACACUUAGGAGGCCCCUCAGUCACGACGUGAAACCCUGGAGUAAUGCCGUAUGUGGUUACGGGCAACAACCACCACCACCCUCUCACUUAACUGUAGGAGUAAAGCAAUUUUAACAAAUCAAAUAAGCAAAAAUUAAUUCUUCUAAUGAGAGUGAAAGUUGCACUUUCCUAGGGUAAUCCUUUAUGGACACCUCACUCAAAAUAUCAGGACAUGUAUCUAUUAUAGGUGCUACUAAGCUUUAGGAUUCACUGCAAAUUUUCCAGUAGGGGCACUGUGAAUCAGUUGGAAAUCAAGAACAGGACUUAAGGAGGAAUUCCUUUUUUUUUUUAAAGGCCUAAUUUUUUUUUUUUUUUU
RNAcentral lists this long non-coding RNA (460 nucleotides) under Homo sapiens (human). RNAcentral's name for it is "non-protein coding lnc-TOX4-4:1". The record is from RNAcentral. Lineage: Eukaryota; Metazoa; Chordata; Mammalia; Primates; Hominidae.